This 2242-nucleotide ribosomal RNA is filed under the name human gut metagenome. RNAcentral's name for it is "bacterial LSU rRNA". It matches the Rfam family "Bacterial large subunit ribosomal RNA", at positions 14 to 2345 of the family's 2925-position model. The record is from RNAcentral.
AGAGCGUAGGGAGAAUGCCUUGGCAUUAGGAGCCGACGAAGGACGUGAUAAGCUGCGAUAAGCUGCGGGGAUCAGCAAGUAUGAAUUGAUCCGCAGAUUUCCGAAUGGAGCAAUCCGUAUGUGUAUGCACAUACAUCAUAUACUGAAUCAAAUAGGUAUAUGAGGGGAACCGCCUGAACUGAAACAUCUAAGUAGGGCGAGGAAGAGAAAUCAACCGAGAUUCUGUGAGUAGUGGCGAGCGAAAGCGGAAGAGGCUAAACCAUAGGUAGCAAUACUUAUGGGGUUUCGGACAGCAUUUAGUAUUGAUAAUUUCUAGUUGAAACGUGUGGGAAAACGUACCGAAGAGUGUGAGAGUCACGUAAGCGAAAGAGAGAGUCAGCGAGCUGUAUCCGAAGUACCGCGGGACACGUGAAACCCCGUGGGAAGAUGGGGGGACCAUCCUCCAAGCCUAAAUACUACCUAAUGACCGAUAGCGAAUAGUACUGUGAAGGAACGGUGAAAAGAACCCCGGGAGGGGAGUGAAAAAGAACCUGAAACCCUAUGCUUACAAGCACCGAGAGCACGUCAAAGUGUGAUCGGGUACCUUUUGUAGAAUGGUCCGGCGAGUUAUUGUAUGCGGCAAGGUUAAGUGCUUAAGGCACGGAGCCGAAGCGAGAGCAAGUCUGAAUAGGGCGAAUAAGUCGUAUGCAAUAGACCCGAAACCGAGUGACCUAUCCAUGUCCAGGCUGAAGUGGAGGUAAAACUCCAUGGAGGGCCGAACACACGUCCGUUGAAAAGGCCGGUGAUGAGGUGUGGAUAGCGGAGAAAUUCCAAUCGAACUCGGAUAUAGCUGGUUCUCUCCGAAAUAGCUUUAGGGCUAGCCUCGUGAAAGAUUACUGGAGGUAAAGCACUGAAUGGGCUAGGGGUCGAAAGAUUACUGAACCCUAUCAAACUAAGAAUGCCAGAUAAUUGAUUCACGGGAGUCAGACAAUGUGAGAUAAGUCUCAUUGUCAAAAGGGAAACAGCCCAGACCCACAGCUAAGGUCCCUAAACAUUGUUAAGUGGAAAAGGAUGUGGGGUUGCAUAAACAACCAGGAUGUUGGCUUAGAAGCAGCCACUCAUUAAAAGAGUGCGUAAUAGCUCACUGGUCGAGUGACCCUGCGCCGAAAAUUCAACGGGGCUAAACAAUGUACCGAAGCUUGGGAUUCUAGAUUUAUCUAGAGUGGUAGGAGAGCGUCGAAUAAGGGGUGAAGUCAGAGCGGAAGCGCUGGUGGACUUUAUUCGAGUGAGAAUGCCGGAAUGAGUAGCGAGAAUUAUGUGAGAAUCAUAAUGGCCGAAAAUCUAAGGUUUCCUGAGGAAGGUUCGUCCGCUCAGGGUAAGCCGGGGGCUAAGGCGAGGCGGAGACGCGUAGCCGAUGCACAUACGGUUGAAAUUCCGUAGCCACCGAAAGAUUUAAAUACAGGGACGCUUUAGAAGUGAUGUUGCCGGGCGAUGGUUGACCCGGUCGUAAGGGAUCGAAAAUGAGUAGAGAAGUCAUCAUGGAAAGAGACAAGAAAAGCUGUAUGAAUAUCUUAGGUGCCCGUACCGCAAACCGACACAGGUAGAUAGGAAGAAGAUUCUAAGGCCAACGGGAGAAGGGUUGUUAAGGAACUCGGCAAGUUGACCCCGUAACUUAGGGAUAAGGGGUGCUCAAGUGAUUGAGCCGCAGAGAAUAGGCCCAGGCGACUGUUUAGCAAAAACACAGGUCUCUGCUAAAUCGAAAGAUGACGUAUAGGGGCUGACACCUGCCCGGUGCCGGAAGGUUAAGAGGAGAUGUGAGAGCAUUGAAUUGAAGCCCCGGUAAACGGCGGCCGUAACUAUAACGGUCCUAAGGUAGCGAAAUUCCUUGUCAGGUAAGUUCUGACCCGCACGAAAGGUGUAACGAUCUGGGCACUGUCUCAACAACCCGCCCGGCGAAAUUGUAGUACCGGUGAAGAUGCCGGUUACCCGCGACUAGACGGAAAGACCCCAUGGAGCUUUACUGUAGCCUAAUAUUGGAUUUCGGUAUUUCACGUACAGGAUAGGUGGGAGACUGGGAAGCACAGGCGUCAGCUUGUGUGGAGUCGACCUUGGGAUACCACUCUUGGAGUGCUGGAAUUCUAACCUGCGGCUUUGAAGCAAGUCGGGGGACAUUGUUAGGUGGGCAGUUUGACUGGGGCGGUCGCCUCCUAAAGAGUAACGGAGGCGCUCAAAGGUUCGUUCAGCACGGACGGAAAUCGUGCAU